AAAAGAUGUGAAAAAGAUUUUUAUGGCAAAAUCGGACAGCGUAUUUUUAAUUUAUUUUUUUUAAUGAGUUGAAUCUGGCCACUUUGUAGCUUUCACAUAGGUAAACACAUUUUCUGAUUGCAUUUCGUUUUGGGAUGCUCCAUGGCUGUGGCAGUUGCAAUAUUGCAGGUUGCUUAGGAAUUCAAGUGAACACGAGAAUGAAGCAAAAAAAGCUGACUAUAAAAAAAAAAAUCCAAAAUCUAUUGUAUUUAUUUGAGUAUUUUUUUUAGCAGAGGUGAUAAAAGCACAUCUGCUGCUGUGUGGUAGGCUGGUGCUCAGCCCUAAUGUGAGGAACCACAAAACCCCGUUGUUUUGUGCACUGUGCUGGCGCUGGAGCUUCCCCGUCACACAGCGCCUAACACUGGAGCUAUUCAUGCCGGCUGAUUCAAGGGGCUGACAGCAAUCUUUAUCUGGGCAUAGAAACUAGAAUUUUCCUCUGGGACAGAACAAAGCUUGAGAAAAAUAACUGCGCUCAGCAACAAUUUGUUUCAUCCUGCCAUCAGCGAGGCAGGAGUGUAGGGAAGUCCCUGCAGGUGACAGCAGCUCUCCUCUGCCCGGGCUUUAUGGCCGUGCUUUGCCGUUCCUCACAAGUCAUCGAAGAAUGGCUUUUCUUUCAUUUGUGUUGUCGAGAUGCCAGUGCAGCUGCUUGUGAAAGACUGUUGUGAAAAAACAGUAAGUAGUUAGAGCAGAAAAAGUAAAGGGCAGAAAUAAGUGAUUCACCUCCUGGUGGUUUGCCACCUGUGUCAUGUGGUUAGAUAUAUGAUGACGUCAAUAUUUUGAAGUCAGUUUUAUGUUUUUUGAGGAAAAUCCUUUGGAUGCAUUUUGUAUCACAAUAUUAUUCCCAGUGAUCCCCUCCUCUUUAUUCCACAAAGCUGUACAUUUUGUUUGCGUGCCUAUAUGUUACUCCUGAAGCAAGAGGUUUGUUUUAUUAUUGAAGAAUCAAGAUGUACAUCAUUUAGAAAAUAUUCCCUGCAGGUUCUUCUUUCACCAGCUCAAAGUCACUUUAAGAAAGGCAUCGCCUUAUCUCAGUAACACAUAUUUGAAAGUCAUUUAGUGAGCAAAUUGCCAGAUAAUUGCAUUGGUGGUAAUUGCAUCUUAAAUUGAUCUGCUGUUGAGAAAAAUGCUGAAAAUGAACUGUUCUUAAUCUUGAUAUGAAAAUAUUGGUUCUGUUAUAUUAAUUAGCAUGCUGUGAAAUAAGAAUAUUUUUUAAGGGAGAUGCUUAAGCUGAUCUGUUUAUUUUUAGUUAGUGCCUUUGGUUAGUUCCCUGGAAGAAUCAAAGCUCUGUUUGUGCCUGUGUGUGAGAGAGAGAAAAAAGUUUAUAGGAUGUCAAUCAAUGAAAACUCUAAAGGUUUUCCAUAAAACAGGAGUUUUGUGGCAUAUCUCAGGGAUUUUGUGUAGCUUUGUCAAAAUAUUUUUUCUCUUUCCUUUAACCCUGCUGUGUUCACAAUUGUGUCACUCAUUUCACUGUUGAACCUGUUAUGGGCAGCAAAACUUCUGGGUUGAUCUGAAGGGGUUUGGGAGAUUGACCUGACCAGGAAAUAGCAUUGCACUGCCUGUUGUACUUUGACCUGUAAUAAUUCCUGGUACUUCAUUCCACUUCUUGUAAGGUAGCUUUCUGUCUGCACGUUUCUUACUGCAGCUGUAUGUG
Molecule: long non-coding RNA, 1687 nt
Filed under: Anser brachyrhynchus (Pink-footed goose)
Lineage: Eukaryota; Metazoa; Chordata; Aves; Anseriformes; Anatidae
Description: lncRNA (ENSABRG00000006068.1)
Source: RNAcentral